GAUGAACGCUAGCUACAGGCUUAACACAUGCAAGUCGAGGGCAGCACGAAGAUAGCUUGCUAUCUUGGGUGGCGACCGGCGCACGGGUGAGUAACGCGUAUCCAACCUGCCCAUUACUCAGGGAUAGCCUUGCGAAAGUAAGAUUAAUACCUGAUGUUGUUAAAAACCCGCAUGAGUUUUUAACCAAAGAUUUAUUGGUAAUGGAUGGGGAUGCGUGACAUUAGGUAGUUGGUGAGGUAACGGCUCACCAAGCCUACGAUGUCUAGGGGUUCUGAGAGGAAGGUCCCCCACAUUGGAACUGAGACACGGUCCAAACUCCUACGGGAGGCAGCAGUGAGGAAUAUUGGUCAAUGGGCGAAAGCCUGAACCAGCCAAGUCGCGUGAAGGAAUACGGUCCUAUGGAUUUUAAACUCUUUUGAUGGGAGCAAUAAGGUGUACGUGUACAUCGAUGAGAGUACCAUACGAAUAAGCAUCGGCUAACUCCGUGCCAGCAGCCG
This 497-nucleotide ribosomal RNA is filed under the name uncultured bacterium. RNAcentral's name for it is "bacterial SSU rRNA". It matches the Rfam family "Bacterial small subunit ribosomal RNA", at positions 28 to 517 of the family's 1533-position model. The record is from RNAcentral.